CAUAAAGUAGAAAGCACUACUAACAGCGCUGUAGGGUGUAGUGUUUCCUACUUUAUGGA
RNAcentral lists this microRNA precursor (59 nucleotides) under Ornithorhynchus anatinus (platypus). Its description in RNAcentral is "Oan-Mir-142-P2-v3_pre stem-loop". It matches the Rfam family "mir-142 microRNA precursor family", at positions 14 to 73 of the family's 85-position model. Lineage: Eukaryota; Metazoa; Chordata; Mammalia; Monotremata; Ornithorhynchidae. The record is from RNAcentral.